UCCCUGGUGGCUCAGAUGGUAAAGUAUCUGCCUGCAAUGCGGGAGACCCAGGUUCAAUCCCUGGAUUGGGAA
RNAcentral lists this transfer RNA (72 nucleotides) under Ovis aries (sheep). It matches the Rfam family "tRNA". From Rfam's summary of the family: Transfer RNA (tRNA) molecules are approximately 80 nucleotides in length. Their secondary structure includes four short double-helical elements and three loops (D, anti-codon, and T loops). Lineage: Eukaryota; Metazoa; Chordata; Mammalia; Artiodactyla; Bovidae. The record is from Rfam by way of RNAcentral.